This 460-nucleotide ribosomal RNA is filed under the name uncultured bacterium. RNAcentral describes it as "partial 16S ribosomal RNA". It matches the Rfam family "Bacterial small subunit ribosomal RNA", at positions 338 to 795 of the family's 1533-position model. The record is from RNAcentral.
CCUACGGGAGGCAGCAGUGAGGAAUAUUGGUCAAUGGACGAGAGUCUGAACCAGCCAAGUAGCGUGAAGGAUGACUGCCCUAUGGGUUGUAAACUUCUUUUAUAAAGGAAUAAAACGAGGCACGUGUGCCUUUUUGCAUGUACUUUAUGAAUAAGGAUCGGCUACCUCCGUGCCAGCAGCCGCGGUAAUACGGAGGAUCCGAGCGUUAUCCGGAUUUCUUGGGUUUAAGGGGAGCGUAGAUGGGUUGUUAAGUCAGUUGUGAAAGUUUGCGGCUCAACCGUAAAAUUGCAAUUGAUACUGGCAGUCUUGAGUACAGUUGAGGUAGGCGGAAUUCGUGGUGUAGCGGUGAAAUGCUUAGAUAUCACGAAGAACCCCGAUUGCGAAGGCAGCUUACUAAACUGUGACUGACAUUGAUGCUCGAAAGUGUGGGUAUCAAACAGGAUUAGAUACCCUUGUAGUC